Molecule: ribosomal RNA, 271 nt
Filed under: uncultured archaeon
Lineage: Archaea
Description: partial 16S ribosomal RNA
Rfam family: Archaeal small subunit ribosomal RNA
Source: RNAcentral
CAGCGCCACAAGUGGCAAUCGCGUUUAUUGGGCCUAAAGCGUCCGUAGCAGGUUUGGUAAAUCUUUUGUGAAAUCGUUAGGCUUAACCUAACGGAUUGCAGGAGACACUGCCAGACUAGGGACCGGGAGGAGUCAGAAGUAUUCUGGGGGGACCGGUAAAAUGGUAUAAUCCCCAGAGGACUGCCGAUGGCGAAGGCAUCUGACCAGAACGGAUCCGACUGUGAGGGACGAAAGCUAGGGGAGCGAACCGGAUUAGAUACCCGCGUAGUCC